Molecule: long non-coding RNA, 227 nt
Organism: Etheostoma cragini (Arkansas darter)
Lineage: Eukaryota; Metazoa; Chordata; Actinopteri; Perciformes; Percidae
Exons: 3
Source: RefSeq, a predicted model, not a curated record
UGGAUUAGUUACAACUCCUAAAUGAGUCGCCAACUCUUUUGAUAGUCGAUUGAUCGCUUUGAGUCAUUUUUUAUGUAAAAACAAUGACACUUGUGUGAUGUCAGCUCGUUAAAUGUGAUAAUUUUUCUAGUUUGUUCUCUUCUCUGGGACAGUAGACCGGACAUCUUUGAGUUGUGGACAAAACGAGACAUUUGAAGACGUCAUCUUGUACUUUUUGGGAAACAUUG